UACGAAGGGGGCUAGCGUUGUUCGGAUUUACUGGGCGUAAAGCGCACGUAGGCGGAUUGUUAAGUCAGGGGUGAAAUCCUGGAGCUCAACUCCAGAACUGCCUUUGAUACUGGCAAUCUAGAGUCCGGAAGAGGUGAGUGGAACUCCUAGUGUAGAGGUGGAAUUCGUAGAUAUUCGCAAGAACACCAGUGGCGAAGGCGGCUCACUGGCCCGAUACUGACGCUGAGGCACGAAAGCGUGGGGAGCAAACAGGG
Molecule: ribosomal RNA, 254 nt
Filed under: uncultured bacterium
Lineage: Bacteria
Description: partial 16S ribosomal RNA
Rfam family: Bacterial small subunit ribosomal RNA
Source: RNAcentral